This 206-nucleotide long non-coding RNA is filed under the name Lathyrus oleraceus (garden pea). RNAcentral's name for it is "Pisum sativum (pea) long non-coding RNA (PSAT_LNC022320)". The record is from RNAcentral. Lineage: Eukaryota; Viridiplantae; Streptophyta; Magnoliopsida; Fabales; Fabaceae.
AAAAUAUCAAAAAUCCAAAAAAUGAUUUUAAUUCAAAAUAUGGAAGAGGAAAAUAUUUAAAGAUUUUUGGUGAAAGUCCCAUAUUUUUUGGAUUAAAAAUGAAAUUAAUAUGAAUUAAACAAAAUAAAGGUAUUAAAUGAAAAAUCAGAAAUAAAAAAGAAAAAAAGAAAAAAACAAGGGCCAUCAGAUCUCUUUCAUUAAUUGAG